This 253-nucleotide ribosomal RNA is filed under the name uncultured bacterium. Its description in RNAcentral is "partial 16S ribosomal RNA". It matches the Rfam family "Archaeal small subunit ribosomal RNA", at positions 474 to 727 of the family's 1478-position model. The record is from RNAcentral.
UACCAGCACCCCGAGUGGUCGGGACGAUUAUUGGGCCUAAAGCAUCCGUAGCCGGUCCUACAAGUCUUCCGUUAAAUCCACCUGCUCAACAGAUGGGUUGCGGAAGAUACUAUAGGGCUAGGAGGCGGGAGAGGCAAGCGGUACUCAGUGGGUAGGGGUAAAAUCCUCUGAUCCAUUGAAGACCACCAGUGGCGAAGGCGGCUUGCCAGAACGCGCUCGACGGUGAGGGAUGAAAGCUGGGGGAGCAAACCGG